CAAAAACUAAAAGCUUUGCUUUGACAGCCGCCAGAAAAUUAACAUGAUCAGAAAGAUGGAGGAAGGGAAUAUAAUGUCCCCUCUGAGGCAAAACAGCAUGUCCCUUGUUUGCCUUUGCCUGGAGCAUAUGUGGAGCACUCAGACAGUUGGAUAUGAAUGGACCACCAUCCAAUAUGCAGGAACCACCAGCUCCAAGGCAAGCAGGUCCCUGGCUGCAGCAGCAUCCUUGGCAUUUGCACUCUAUGAUGAUGAACAUGGCAAGAGAAAAAACGAAUGCGAUGGGACCAGUUUUAAGGAGAAACUGAAACCUGAGAAAGCAUUUUUCUAAGGUAGAUUUUGCUUGGCUGAUUGAAGCAGUUAUGUCUUCUACCCUUUCCACUCUUCUGGAAGAGUUACUGUCUUGUGGCAAGGAUGGUUGGAUAAAGCAGGAAUCCAGUCCAAAAUUACCAGAAUUCACAGCUCCAUACAUAGCAGAAACUUGUGACAGCAUCUCCAAGAACCAGCAGCCUGACCUGUGAAGCACCAAGACAUGAUCAGUACUCCUUGCUUCAUCACCACCUGUCUCUUGGAGAAGGUGAAAAGCAGCCCUAAGAAUUACCCAUAGCUCUUACCUAACCCAGAAACAUGCACGAAUGCCCUUCCCAUUGUCUAUAGACUCCAUUUAAUAAGUCAUUAGCUCAAGCUGCAUUUCAAAAG
RNAcentral lists this long non-coding RNA (696 nucleotides) under Gallus gallus (chicken). Its description in RNAcentral is "lncRNA (ENSGALG00010004199.1)". The record is from RNAcentral. Lineage: Eukaryota; Metazoa; Chordata; Aves; Galliformes; Phasianidae.